UUUACUAACUGAGUGACCUUGAAGAUGACUUAACCUAAGAAUCAGUUUUUUUUUUUUCAUGUAAAAUAAUGGACAAUCAUCUAUCUGAUAGGGUUCUUUGAAGAUAUACAUGGUGUAUUGGUUGGAAACCCAGGGCUUAAUAAUUACUAGAUGUUGUUGUUGUUAGUAUUAUUCAGCUAUGAUUCCAUUGCCUGUUAUUUUUCUCCAACAUUUUAUUAUGAAAAAUUUUAAACAUAUGGAAAAGUUAAAAUAAUUGGACAGUGAACACUCAUGAACCUAACAUCUAAAUUCAAUAAAUAAUAUUUUAUUAUAUUUGAUUUGUCAUAUAUAUAUUCACCUAUCCAUCACUUCAUCUAUCUUUUAAUGUAUCUUAUUUUAAAAUGAAUUUUAAAGUAAAUUGCUGACAUCUUCCUCUUAAAUACUUCAGCUUUAUUAUCAUUAACGAGAGUUCAAUAUUUGUGUAUGGUUCUUCUUCUGGUGGUGGAGGGAUGAAAUCUAGAUACCAUGAAAUACACAAAUUAUAUCAUUUUUCAUGUAACCCUAUUAAGAUAUAGAAUAUUUCUGUACCCAAGAAAGUUUGCACUGGCUCUGUUUAGUCAGUCUUCACCUUUACUCCUAACCCUGAAUAUUGUGUGAUUUUUAUAGCUAGGAUUCCAGGCAUUUUUUAAAGGAUAGUGAUAGGAAUAUUUGGGAGCUGGGGAGUUGCAGCAUGUGCUUUUUAUCACACCACAGAUGCUGGAACUUGGUAUAGUUUUUCCAUAUGAGAUUUUAUAAAUUUUGCAUUUUUAUAAAAGUAUAGUAAUUCAUUCAACAAACACUUACUUACCAGAUACCUUGCUAAGUACUGAGGGAGACAUUCUGAAAUCAAGUGAGUGAAGUAGAGCAUUACAGAGGCUGUGAUAAAAAUAGGUACAGAGUAUAAUGGAGGCACCAAGAAGGGAGAGGUUUAGUUCUUCCCAACUUGGAAACAUAGGCAAGGAUGGCCUUGAAGAGGAGGUGAUAUUUGAGCUGAGUGUUGUAAAAGAUGAGUUGGUAUUCAAAGGCAUUAGUGGAGUGGGAGAGGAGUUGGAAAACAGUGUUUCAGGGUGAGCAAGGGCAAAGGGGAAGAAGGAGCCUGGUGUGGUGGGGAAUGGUUUUCCUAGGCUGGAGCAAAGGCAGCAAAGAGGAAGCUAAGAUGGUAGAUGGAGAGGACUUUGCAUACCAUGCAAAUGACUUCGGUUUAUUUCUAUAGCCUAGGGAGUAAUUGAAGAGGUUUAUUCAUUUAUGAAGGGGAUUAAACCCAAGAGAGAAAUUGUUAAACACUGCAGUUAGUAGCUUAAGAAUAUUUUAUGAUCAGAUCAAAAUCAUAUUUCUUCUUUGUGUUAUUAAACUGUCAUUUUAUGUUCAUAUUCUGACUCUUUCCCCAUUUAUCUUUCUAAAAUGACAGGUAGUGUGCCAGUAUUUGAAAAAUCCCAAUGUAUCUGAUUCACUGCUGCUGCAGAAUAUUUUCCAAGCUCUGAAUGUAUAUUACAAUUAUUCGGGCCAGGUGAAAUGCCUGAAUAUUUCAGAGACAGCAACUAGCAGUCUGGGAACACUGGGUUGGAGCUAUCAGGCCUGCACAGAAGUAGUCAUGCCCUUUUGUACUAAUGGUGUCGAUGACAUGUUUGAACCUCACUCAUGGAACUUAAAGGAACUUUCUGAUGACUGUUUUCAACAGUGGGGUGUGAGACCAAGGCCCUCCUGGAUCACUACUAUGUAUGGAGGCAAAAACAUCAGCUCACACGCAAACAUUGUUUUCAGCAAUGGUGAACUAGACCCCUGGUCAGGAGGUGGAGUAACUAAGGAUAUCACAGACACUCUGGUUGCAGUCACCAUCUCAGAGGGGGCCCACCACUUAGAUCUCCGCACCAAGAAUGCCUUAGAUCCUAUGUCUGUGCUGUUAGCCCGCUCCUUGGAAGUUAGACAUAUGAAGAAUUGGAUCAGAGAUUUCUAUGACAGUGCAGGAAAGCAGCACUGAGAAACUUUUGAUUGUUUUCAGUUUCUUCUUUUAUGUUCACACCACCACAUUCCCAUUCACUUUGAUUUUCUACAUGUAAUUACCUUCUUUUGUUUAUCAUUAGAUUUGAUGGGGCCGAGGUUGAGAUAGAAUAGAGGGUGAUGACGGUAAGAGCAACUGUCCCAUGAAUGUGAUUUUCUGGGUUCUCACUGUCUUUGCACCACGUCUAGGAAGAAUCUUUGUGAUAGCUCUCCCACACCAUCAGUGGCCCUCAUAACUGGAGUAGAGUUCCUGUUUGCUUUUCAUAAGAGGUAGAGUCACUUUCUUUGUAUCUCUGCAAGCAGAGAUUUCUCUUUGGUUUUGAGGUUGAAGUGUCUUUGGCCCAUUUGUAAGUCCCCAUCCCUACCCUACACAAAGUAAAAGCAGAAGAUAGAUAAAAAAUGAUGUAAUUGCAGCUGGUAGGAUGUCUGGUGCCAAUCCAGGAAGUGAGAGCCAUUUCUUUUGUACUGGAUUUAAUGACUUUGAACUGUGCUGUAAAUAAAUAAUACAGCUGG
RNAcentral lists this small RNA (2529 nucleotides) under Pongo abelii (Sumatran orangutan). RNAcentral's name for it is "retained intron". The record is from RNAcentral. Lineage: Eukaryota; Metazoa; Chordata; Mammalia; Primates; Hominidae.